Molecule: long non-coding RNA, 633 nt
Filed under: Betta splendens (Siamese fighting fish)
Lineage: Eukaryota; Metazoa; Chordata; Actinopteri; Anabantiformes; Osphronemidae
Description: lncRNA (ENSBSLG00000008383.1)
Source: RNAcentral
CUCUUUGUCAGGAGGAACGGCUGAGGCCAGGCGACACCAGCACUGUUUGUACAUCUGUACAUCCCUCACAUGUCUCGCCCACAGCCCUUCUGGGCUUGUCUCCAUGGUAACCACAGCAGGGAUGGUGUCCUUGGCAGAGAUGGAGGGAUGGAUAGAGAGAGGAGAAAUGUCCGUGAUGGAAGUCAUGAGCUCCACUUAACCUCCUGGCCUAGAAUGAAAUCAGUGAGCUAGACAUAAAGCGACACUAGACCUUAGUGUAACUGUCCUGAAGCACAUUUCAGCAUCAGUAGAUCGAACACUGGUGACCUUGCUGUUGGUCAUUAUCUGUUACAGAUAAUCUGCUGCUCAAUGCCUACAGUCAUUCAGCCUAAACUGAUGCCUCAAUAACAACCUACCUGUGUGUGUGUGUGCGUGCGUGCGUGCGUGCGUGUGGACCCCCCUGGUCUUGAUAGCAGAGGGGCAGAUCAGAUGGAGAGGUCCUUCUGGCGUCAAAGGCUUUGCAUAUGUAGGCAUCCAGUGGCUAUUUCGAAGCUGUGGGUUAGUCGCCACACCAUGACGCUCUGGCAUGGUGCGCUUCUCAUUAUGUUAAUUAUGUAAAUAGUUAUGUAAAUAAAAUAAAUAUGCAAAUAUACA